AAUGAACGCUGGCGGCGCGCCUAAUACAUGCAAGUCGAGCGAGAAGACGUAGCAAUACGUUUGUAAAGCGGCGAACGGGCGAGGAAUACAUGGGUAACCUACCCUCGAGUGGGGAAUAACUAGCCGAAAGGUUAGCUAAUACCGCGUACGCUCCUUGGACUUCGGUUCAGGGAGGAAAGCGAUACCGUGGGUAUCGCGCUCUUGGUUGGGCUCAUGUCCUAUCAGCUUGUUGGUGAGGAACGGCUCACCAAGGCUUCGACGGGUAGCUGGUCUGAGAGGACGAUCAGCCACACUGGCACUGCGACACGGGCCAGACUCCUACGGGAGGCAGCAGUAAGGAAUAUUGCGCAAUGGGCGAAAGCCUGACGCAGCGACGCCGCGGU
Molecule: ribosomal RNA, 383 nt
Filed under: uncultured bacterium
Lineage: Bacteria
Description: bacterial SSU rRNA
Rfam family: Bacterial small subunit ribosomal RNA
Source: RNAcentral